GGAUUGUAGGCUGAAACUCGCCUACAUGAAGCUGGAGUUGCUAGUAAUCGCGAAUCAGCAUGUCGCGGUGAAUACGUUCCCGGGCCUUGUACACACCGCCCGUCACACCAUGAGAGUUGGCAAUACCCAACGUACGUGAUCUAACCCGCAAGGGAGGAAGCGUCCUAAGGUAGGGUCAGCGAUUGGGGUGAAGUCGUAACAAGGUAAC
This 208-nucleotide ribosomal RNA is filed under the name uncultured bacterium. RNAcentral's name for it is "partial 16S ribosomal RNA". It matches the Rfam family "Bacterial small subunit ribosomal RNA", at positions 1295 to 1500 of the family's 1533-position model. The record is from RNAcentral.